GAAAUGCGAUAAGUAAUGUGAAUUGCAGAAUUCAGUGAAUCAUCGAAUCUUUGAACGCACAUUGCGCCCCCCGGUAUUCCGGGGGGCAUGCCUGUCCGAGCGUCAUUACUGCCCUCAAGCGCGGCUUGUGUGUUGGGCGUUCGCCCCCCACCGGGGGGCGUGCCCGAAAGGCAGUGGCGGCGCCGUGCCCGGUCCUCGAGCGUAUGGGGCUCUGUCACCCGCUCUGGAGGCCUGGCCGGCUGCCGCCGACCCCCUCAGACCUUACCACGGUUGACCUCGGAUCAGGCAGGGAUACCCGCUGAACUUAA
RNAcentral lists this unclassified non-coding RNA (308 nucleotides) under uncultured Eurotiomycetes. RNAcentral's name for it is "sequence contains ITS1". The stretch from base 1 to 105 matches the Rfam family "5.8S ribosomal RNA", at positions 50 to 154 of the family's 154-position model. The record is from RNAcentral. Lineage: Eukaryota; Fungi; Ascomycota; Eurotiomycetes.